UGCUGGAGGUAUCAGAAGUGCGAAUGUUGACAUGAGUAGCGAUAAAGCGGGUGAAAAGCCCGCUCGCCGAAAGCCCAAGGUUUCCUACGCAACGUUCAUCGGCGUAGGGUGAGUCGGCCCCUAAGGCGAGGCAGAAAUGCGUAGUCGAUGGGAAACAGGUUAAUAUUCCUGUACUUGAUUCAAAUGCGAUGUGGGGACGGAGAAGGUUAGGUUAGCAAGCUGUUGGAAUAGCUUGUUUAAGCCGGUAGGUGGAAGACUUAGGCAAAUCCGGGUCUUCUUAACACCGAGAAGUGAUGACGAGUGUCUACGGACAUGAAGUAACCGAUACCACGCUUCCAGGAAAAGCCACUAAGCUUCAGUUUGAAUCGAACCGUACCGCAAACCGACACAGGUGGGCAGGAUGAGAAUUCUAAGGCGCUUGAGAGAACUCAGGAGAAGGAACUCGGCAAAUUGAUACCGUAACUUCGGGAGAAGGUAUGCCCUCUAAGGUUAAGGACUUGCUCCGUAAGCCCUGGAGGGUCGCAGAGAAUAGGUGGCUGCGACUGUUUAUUAAAAACACAGCACUCUGCUAACACGAAAGUGGACGUAUAGGGUGUGACGCCUGCCCGGUGCUGGAAGGUUAAUUGAAGAUGUGCAAGCAUCGGAUCGAAGCCCCAGUAAACGGCGGCCGUAACUAUAACGGUCCUAAGGUAGCGAAAUUCCUUGUCGGGUAAGUUCCGACCCGCACGAAUGGCGUAACGAUGGCCACACUGUCUCCUCCCGAGACUCAGCGAAGUUGAAGUGGUUGUGAAGAUGCAAUCUACCCGCUGCUAGACGGAAAGACCCCGUGAACCUUUACUGUAGCUUUGCAUUGGACUUUGAAGUCACUUGUGUAGGAUAGGUGGGAGGCUUUGAAGCAGAGACGCCAGUCUCUGUGGAGCCGUCCUUGAAAUACCACCCUGGUGUCUUUGAGGUUCUAACCCAGACCCGUAAUCCGGGUCGGGGACCGUGCAUGGUAGGCAGUUUGACUGGGGCGGUCUCCUCCCAAAGAGUAACGGAGGAGUUCGAAGGUUACCUAGGUCCGGUCGGAAAUCGGACUGAUAGUGCAAUGGCAAAAGGUAGCUUAACUGCGAGACCGACAAGUCGAGCAGGUGCGAAAGCAGGACAUAGUGAUCCGGUGGUUCUG
This 1165-nucleotide ribosomal RNA is filed under the name human oral metagenome. RNAcentral describes it as "bacterial LSU rRNA". It matches the Rfam family "Bacterial large subunit ribosomal RNA", at positions 1271 to 2431 of the family's 2925-position model. The record is from RNAcentral.